CGGAAUAGUAUGAGCCUGGAUAACCUGUGGUUUGUGUUGAAUAUGCACUAUGGUUAUAAUCAAGAGUUGAUCCUGGACCACCACUUUGCUGACAGUUUGAUAAUGAACUUGAAUUUACAACACUGUUACUGUUUACACUUGAACCGCUAAAUCCAGUUGGAUUAUCAUCUGAGCCAAUCAUUCCCCAAUAACAAUUUAGAUUACCAGUUCCCUGUGAACCUGUUGUUGGUGUUGCUGUUGUACUUCCCAUAAUUAUCAUUUGUCAAUCGGAUAAAAAAAUUAACAGGUUAACAACACAAACAAGAUGGGGAAGACGAUCUAAACGGUGCAGACGAUGAAGACGAGAAAGACAAAGAAGACGGAGAAGGACAGAGAAGACGAAAUCGACGGAAAUUCUUGAAAUGGAAGCAAACAAACAGAUUCUCAUCUUUGAUCAUCUUUAUUUUGAAGACAAAAAGUCCCUUGGAAGAAGAUGAAGCCAGAAAGAAAGAGAUGGGAAAAAGGUUUUUAAUCUAAUUUCACACCAAUUAACACUGAAGGAGAGGGCAAACAAUUAAUCAAAGACAAAUAAACACAAAGCUAUAAAUAAGAUGGACAUUUCAACUAUCAAAGCUCAAGAAAAUGCAUUUGGCUCUAAGCAUUACAUUCAUUGCUUUUUAUUUACUUUCAUGGAUUUUUUUGCUUCUUCUGGUGAAAGGAAAAAGUUGAAAAAUGAAACUUAUUUAGUUAAUUCAUUUCAAUGGGACAUAAGCUGGAGAUGAUUGGAUCAUGCAAUAAACAAAGUAAACAUGGAAACAAGAAAAGAAGCUGAUAAAAGGCGAAGAGAGAUCGAAAUGAUGAUUUAACAGCAAUAAGACAAAAUUGAAAUAUGAUUUCAAUUUUACCAGCUGAUUGAUGAUUUCUAGUCUUGUUUAUCUGCGUUCAUGUUUUUACGCUAUUAUAUUCACACAUUUGCCAUUAAUCUUGACUUCAUCUCAUGUCUAAAGGAUCAUGAUGAUCAUCAAGAUGAUAAUGUUUACAUCUGUGAAGCCCAAAAUUCCUACAAAACAAUUGCCUUUUUUCAUCUUCAUCUUCUUUCUUUAUAACCAAAUUGGACAAUAAAUAACCAUUUCAAUAUCAAAGUGUUGGCCUUUGCUGCUGCUGUUGCUGUUGCUGUAAAUGUAAAUAUCUUUACCAGUGAAAAGAGAUUCCCUUUCAAGCUAAAAAUCCUUCUCAUCAUCAUCAUUAUCAUCAUCAUCUUCAAUCUUCUGCUUUCUCCUUCAUCGUUUAACUCCAUGUGAGUCCCAUACAAGUUAUGCAAUGGCAAUUGAUCUCGACUUUUUCCUUAUCAUCAUCUCUUCCUGAAUAUCUUCAACCUUCAAUCUACUUUAUAGGUCUUACCUCUCAUCCUGUUUAUCUUCAUGUUCACCAACAUCACCCUCAUCAUGAUGAUCAUCAUUUCAUCUUCCUCCUUCACUCUCUUCAUUCAUUGACGCCAAAUGUAACCCAUCUUAACUGAAUGCUUUUAGCUAAUUGCUUCCAAAAAGGAUUCUUGGUUGUUGGUUACAAAACAAAAGGCUGAUCAUCAUGAGCCAGGUAGAAGAGCCCAGAAUAUUCACAAUGAAACAGUCAAAAUAUUCAACUCUUUUUUUCCUACUUUUCUCAUCCAUCUAACAACAAAAAUGGUUUCAGUUUUACUUUGCUAAAAUAUUGUAUCCAAUAAGGUAAUAAUGAUUAGGGUAAACUUGUUCACUGAUUUACAAAGUGUUUGACAAACAAUUAUUUUCCAAUGAAUUACUCGACUCAUAUUAGCCGUAAUUUACUUUGUUUCAGCUAAUUAACCUUUUCUCUACUCAUUCCAAUUAAUACUUACCUUUGUUUACAUUGAAAAUAGCAUAGUAUUACAUGAUCAAGAUGUUAAGGGUAAACAUCCAUUAAAGACUUGUAUUCAAUGAUACUCUGGAACCUGUUAUUUUGAUAAUAAAUUGUUUCAUUUAAUCACAAGAGUAUAGACAAUAUUUUCCCAUAACUACAACCUAAAAUGAUUAAAUAAAUUGGCACCAAAAAAGGACCUUCCAAUUUGGUUAAUCAAAUACAUGGGAAAAAAUGGAACCAUCAAAAGCAAUCCUCACGAGAUUCAUGGAAACAAUUUUCCAAUCUAACAAAAAUCAAUCAAACAACAAAUGUAUACAAAGAUAUCAACAAUUAUUAAACAAUUGGCUAUUAAUUGUUUGGCAAAUUAGUACAAAAAUCAAGUGAAAUAAACCAACAAGUAAAUCCAAGCCAAAAAGCAUGUAACAAUCAAAACCAAGUAACCAGAAUGUACAAGUUGACCAGUUUUGGUUGAACAGCUUAACCCAUAAUUUUUAUUCAACUCCAAUUAAAUGGAAAAGCUGAUCACAAUUGAUUUAGCUAGUUAAUCAUGUAUCAUGUUAAUUUAAAAUGAAUCAAGUUAAUAAUGGUUGUAACCAAGAAAGCUUUGAAGCUUAUUAUUAUUCAGUUGCAAGUGAAGGCCUGAAAAAAAAGUACGAGAAUGAAAUGAAUAUAUUAAAUGUAGUAUAAAUAUCA
Long non-coding RNA from Tetranychus urticae (two-spotted spider mite), 2547 nucleotides. RefSeq lists it as uncharacterized. The record is from RefSeq and is a predicted model, not a curated record. NCBI's taxonomy places the organism in Eukaryota, Metazoa, Arthropoda, Arachnida, Trombidiformes, Tetranychidae.